RNAcentral lists this transfer RNA (76 nucleotides) under Hominimerdicola alba. It matches the Rfam family "tRNA". Rfam says of the family: Transfer RNA (tRNA) molecules are approximately 80 nucleotides in length. Their secondary structure includes four short double-helical elements and three loops (D, anti-codon, and T loops). The record is from RNAcentral. RNAcentral also lists the same sequence under 13 other names. Lineage: Bacteria; Bacillati; Bacillota; Clostridia; Eubacteriales; Oscillospiraceae.
UCCUCCUUAGCUCAGUCGGUAGAGCACUCGGCUGUUAACCGAGUUGUCGCCCGUUCGAGCCGGGCAGGGGGAGCCA